This 3464-nucleotide long non-coding RNA is filed under the name Brassica napus (rape). Its description in RNAcentral is "long non-coding RNA (BNAP_LNC022115)". Lineage: Eukaryota; Viridiplantae; Streptophyta; Magnoliopsida; Brassicales; Brassicaceae. The record is from RNAcentral.
GAACCGAUAAACCAACGAUUGUCCUCGAGGCCGUAGCUUCUUAUGACCUCUGGAUAUGACAUGCAUUUUUUGGAGCUCCAGGUACUAUGAACGAUCUAAAUAUUCUUGAUCGAUCACCUGUUUUUGAUGACAUUAUUAACGGAGUUGCUCCGGAAGUCAACUUCCAUGUUAACGGAAGGGAGUACAAUUUGGCCUACUAUCUCACUGAUGGUAUUUAUCCAGAAUGGGCGACAUUUAUUCGAUCUAUCCGACUACCACAGGGUCCAAAACAUUCCCUAUUUGCUACAGCCCAAGAAUCAGUCCGAAAAGACGUUGAGCGUGCCUUUGGAGUCCUACAAGCUAGAUUCGCCGUUAUUAAAAAUCCAUCUAGUUUAUGGAAAAAAUCGAAGAUAGCCAAUAUUAUGAGAGCAUGUAUCAUACUCCAUAAUAUGAUUGUCGAAGAUGAACGACGUACAGACGAUCAAGAUGAGACGUUUCAAGAUCAGGAUGUUUCAUUUUGCGUUAAGAUGCCUACAGAGAUUUUUAGUUCACUUGAUCGUCGAGCAAGAGUUCGGGAUAGACCAGUCCAUCAACAAUUGAAACAUGAUUUGAUCGAACAUAUAUGGGAUAAAUUUGGACCUUAAAAUUAAAAUCGGUGACUUUUAUGUUAUUGUAAUUUUUUUUAACAGUAUCAGUAAUUUUUUUCCAACUUUGUAAUUUUUUUUUCUACUUUGUAAUUUUUUUUUUCAACUUUGUAAUAUUCAUAUGUUUAAUGUUAUAUGUUUUAUCAUAAAAUCCUACCAAACAAUUUACAAAAAAAACAAAAUUUAAUAUUUUGCUAAGAACCUACCAAAACUUCUACCAAUAAUCUUUACUUUUACUCAUGUAUCUUACCAAAAUCUCUUAAUCUAAUUAUAUUAUUAAAGUAAUACUAAGAUAUGCAAUUGCAUAUCUAGCAAUGCUGAUUCUACUGUCAUCGUUCAUUAACCUUGGCCAUCUAAUUGUUUUUGCAGGUUUAGUAUCUAUGGGAAGGUACAGCUACAGCCAACCUUCAAGCUCGGAUCCGUAUGGUGACAGGGCUGACAGUGGGUACAGCGAGACGGAGGAGUUAAUCCGUCGUGACCAAGCUGAAAUAAGCUUGAAUUAUGGUGAAGUGGCUACGUAUCCUCCGCAACCCGAGGUGGAGUUCGGUUUCCCACACACUUGUUACUGUGGUGGCCAACCACGUUUAGCAACAUCAAGAACAAGCACCGAUCCAGGGAGACUGUACUACACAUGCGACCACGUUGAUGACGGCGACUGCCAUGUAUGGAAGUGGUGGGACGUCGCCGUGAUGGAGGAGAUGAAGGCGAGGGAAAACCAGCUAUUUCUAUUAGAGGAAAAGGUAGAUAAUCUUAACUUAAUGUCUGACCUUGAGACAGAGGAGAAGCUAGUUAGACUAGAGAAGUUAGUUGAGGAGAAAUUAGCUAAGAAGAAAUCUACUGUUAUCGGUGGGGUUGAAGUAGUUAUUGGUGUAAUGCUCAUAGUUUUAGUUGUAAUAGGUCUGUUGAUCGCCUUUAAGUGAUGCAAGACGAUGGUUGCGAGACUUGGCUAUGUUAUGUAAUGUCGUAUUAUCAUCUUCAACUUUCCUCUACGUGUUAUCAGCUUUGUAUCAAUGCUAUUUUGUAAGUCGUGUUUUAGUACUUUUGAAUCAAUGCUAUUUUGUUUCUUUCCUCUACAAAUCCCGUGAUCUUUAUAAACCCCAUACCCGUGACCUUUAUAAAACUCCUUACCCGUGAAUUAUAAUCCAAAACAUCAUGAAAAUCCAAAACAUCACUCAUACCCGUGAAUCCACCCCGUGUAUAAUUUGAAAAGAAACACAACACGGGAAGACAUAUGGUUCUCUAUAAAUAUGAGAGAACGUUCGAUCAUUCAACAUAUACUCAUUUCAAUUCUCUAAAGCAAUUUCAUCUACUCAUUUCAACACUAUAAUUUUUUUUCCCUAAAAAUGGCAUCUUCAUCUCAUUACCAUUACCACAAUAAUGAUGACAAUGAUGAUGAAUUUGAAUCAGUCUUUGAAGAUUUAUUAGAAAUCCCUGAUACUAUUCUGGAACCGAAAGAGCGGAAAAAACGUAUAUUUAUCGAGAGAGACCGGGAAGAAGGCCAUCGAAAGCUCUGGAAUGAUUAUUUUUCGGAAACUCCAACAUAUCCGCCCAAUAUAUUCCGGCGACGGUUUCGAAUGAGUAAGCCGUUGUUCAUGCGCAUUGUCCACCGUCUCUCUACGGAAGUUCACUAUUUUGCUCCUACACAAGAUGCACUUGGAAGGUCAAGUCUAUCACCGAUCCAAAAAUGCACGGCCGCAAUUCGUCAAUUAGCAUAUGGUGGUGGGGCCGAUACGGUAGACGAAUAUGUUCGACUUGGUGAAACAACAGCGCGGAAUUGCUUGCACCAAUUUACUGCCGCAAUUAUCGACUUGUUUGGCGAUGAAUACCUAAGACGUCCAACACCGGAGGAUCUUGAAAGACUACUACAUAAGGGAGAACAACGUGGAUUUCCCGGGAUGAUUGGAAGCAUCGACUGUAUGCACUGGGAGUGGAAGAAUUGCCCCACCGCUUGGCAUGGUAUGUAUUCACGAGGAACCGAUAAACCAACGAUUGUCCUCGAGGCCGUAGCUUCUUAUGACCUCUGGAUAUGGCAUGCAUUUUUUGGAGCUCCAGGUACUAUGAACGAUCUAAAUAUUCUUGAUCGAUCACCUGUUUUUGAUGACAUUAUUAACGGAGUUGCUCCGGAAGUCAACUUCCAUGUUAACGGAAGGGAGUACAAUUUGGCCUACUAUCUCACUGAUGGUAUUUAUCCAGAAUGGGCGACAUUUAUUCGAUCUAUCCGACUACCACAGGGUCCAAAACAUUCCCUAUUUGCUACAGCCCAAGAAUCAGUCCGAAAAGACGUUGAGCGUGCCUUUGGAGUCCUACAAGCUAGAUUCGCCGUUAUUAAAAAUCCAUCUAGUUUAUGGAAAAAAUCGAAGAUAGCCAAUAUUAUGAGAGCAUGUAUCAUACUCCAUAAUAUGAUUGUCGAAGAUGAACGACGUACAGACGAUCAAGAUGAGACGUUUCAAGAUCAGGAUGUUUCAUUUUGCGUUAAGAUGCCUACAGAGAUUUUUAGUUCACUUGAUCGUCGAGCAAGAGUUCGGGAUAGACCAGUCCAUCAACAAUUGAAACAUGAUUUGAUCGAACAUAUAUGGGAUAAAUUUGGACCUUAAAAUUAAAAUCGGUGACUUUUAUGUUAUUGUAAUUUUUUUUAACAGUAUCAGUAAUUUUUUUCCAACUUUGUAAUUUUUUUUUCUACUUUGUAAUUUUUUUUUUCAACUUUGUAAUAUUCAUAUGUUUAAUGUUAUAUGUUUUAUCAUAAAAUCCUACCAAACAAUUUACAAAAAAAACAAAAUUUAAUAUUUUGCUAAGAACCUACCAAAACUUCUACCAAUAAUCUUUACUUUUACUCAUGUAUCU